Molecule: long non-coding RNA, 1922 nt
Organism: Panicum virgatum (switchgrass)
Lineage: Eukaryota; Viridiplantae; Streptophyta; Magnoliopsida; Poales; Poaceae
Exons: 3
Source: RefSeq, a predicted model, not a curated record
UGAGGCCACGUGAAGUGGCUCUCCUCCUCCUCUGCUCUACUUUCGGCGCUGCUCCUCUGCGCACACUGGUGGCAGCUCCAACUCUUCUUUGGCCUUAGCCCCUGGAGCAGUGUUUCUCAGCUAGCCGCCUUACCUGUCUGCUCGACGGCAGAGGAGAUGGCCUGCAGGGCGCAGGUUGUGACUCCACUAGGCCCCACCUGCGGUGCCUUCUUACCUACUCAGCCUUUGAAUCUCCGUUCAAGCUCGAGCAUCCCUGAAGUAACCGCCUGCAUCCCUAAAGCUCGAGCAUCCCUUAAGUAAUAUCUUGCAAUCUCUCAGCAUAAGGGUAAGUGGAUGGAUUUCAGUAUGUCACUUUGUAGAUUAACAGAUUGUAACUAUGAUUCCUGUACAGUGGCUAGCAGUGGCCAGCUCAAGCCUAACGCUAGCCUGCCAUGCGCAUCCACCUCAUCUCCAAUGCCAGUCAUCCCACAGGUGUUUGAUUGAAUGCUUAUGAGAGGUUGGAAAUUAUAUUCCACUAACUAAUAUGUUUUUUUGCAGCAAUUGUAGUUUUUUUUUUGCCUUUUUGUACCAAUCGGGAGUAGCAUUCCGGCGCUAGGGAAACACCCAUUUAUUGCAAACUGGAUUCUGAACAUGUUCAGAUUUCUCAAAUUGAUAUACUGUACAGUUCAUCUGUCCUCCAAGGAAGAACAUCUUCGGUGGUUCUGGAGGACAGAAGCGAAACGAGGGAGCUGGCAUUUAGAAGUUGGAAAUGCAUCUAUUGCAUCGCAUGCCACUGGGUGCUCUUGGAUGGUGGUGCUCUCCGACAGAGUCUACUUGCUGCAGUCCAUCCAACACCACAACUGAGGGUCAAUCUUGCACUACAUUCUCUUCCAGGGUCCAUCCUAGGUUCAAACUACAUAUUUAUUUGGUCGCUUGCCUAUAAAGGUUGGAUCUUGGUUUGCUUCCCACACAAUUUGCUCAGUAUUUAAUACAUAGUCCUAGGUUUACUAAAAUCUGCAUAGGAAUGCGAACUUUGCAAAACUUUUGUAGGAGAUUUGCGGCUCUCUGAUGGUACUUGGUUGAUAUGGUAGUAUUGUUCAUAUUCCUUUCAGUCCAGCCUCGGUGGGAACUAUCGUUGACGGUUUUCACGUAUCUUUCAGUUAGGUGCGGACUAAGUUGUGUUGUUGAUACAUGUGAAGCAGAUCCAUGAAUUAGAACAUCAUUCACGGAAUCUCAAUGGUGAUUUGACAAUGUUAGACCUUUGGAUAUACGAUCACCUUUUAUUUUCCUCUGUGUAAAGCUGUCAUCGGUUGGGAUUACUUAUUUAUAGGCUUGACACACACUCCUGUUUGCAAUAUAAUUAAUGUGUUGUAAAGUUGGUCCUGAAAUAUUAAUUAUUGUGUCCAUAGGCUAAUCAUAGUUCUUUGGGGCAGAUAACUAUCUCCAGAAAAAUACUAAUGCGGUUCUGUUUGGCUCAAUGUGCUGACUCCGCUUCAUUUGAAUGGGGCACGUUCUACACAUCAACAUCAGAGGUGGUGUUCAGAUGAACAUAAUUCAUUAGCUGGAAUACUGAGCUUCAAGAUUAGGCGACUUUUGAUUUAACUGGAAGUUUUCCUGUCCAUGGAUCAGUAGCAUGCUAACAAGGUGAAGACCUUUGCCUGACACAAACUACAAAUAAGAACGAGUUGAUGCUCUAAAAGCAAGCAACUGUUGGCAAUACCACCACCAAUUUGGAUUACUCUUUUAAUAAUUCUUUUUGUAACAUAUAUGUUUGUGCUAUAAUCAUCCUAUUGGACCGUACUGCAGAAUUAAUAUGUAAUUUUUUAUCUACUUAUUCUUGUCUUAAGACUGAGUGUAGUUUCAUUUUUUGUAAGGAAACUUGUCCUCGCAGCAUGCUUCACUUUGUAAUUUCUAUAUCCUAUUCACGGUAUUUUGUUGAUCCA